Molecule: ribosomal RNA, 407 nt
Filed under: uncultured bacterium
Lineage: Bacteria
Description: bacterial SSU rRNA
Rfam family: Bacterial small subunit ribosomal RNA
Source: RNAcentral
GGGCUCACACAAGCGGUGGAGGAUGUGGCUUAAUUCGAGGCUACGCGAAGAACCUUAUCCUAGAUUUGACAUGCUUGAGAAUUCCUUCGAAAGAAGGAAGUGCCCCUCGGGGAGCUUUUGCACAGGUGCUGCAUGGCUGUCGUCAGCUCGUGUCGUGAGAUGUCGGGUUAAGUCCCUUAACGAGCGAAACCCUUAUCUCUAGUUGCCAGCGGGUAAUGCCGGGGACUCUAGAGAGACUGCCGGUGUCAAACCGGAGGAAGGUGGGGAUGACGUCAAGUCCUCAUGGCCUUUAUGUCUAGGGCUGCACACGUCCUACAAUGGCAUCUACAGUGAGUUAAUCUCCAAAAGAUGUCUCAGUUCGGAUUGGGGUCUGCAACUCGACCCCAUGAAGUUGGAAUCGCUAGUAA